Molecule: ribosomal RNA, 466 nt
Filed under: uncultured bacterium
Lineage: Bacteria
Description: partial 16S ribosomal RNA
Rfam family: Bacterial small subunit ribosomal RNA
Source: RNAcentral
CUACGGGAUGCUGCAGUGGGGAAUAUUGGACAAUGGGGGAAACCCUGAUCCAGCAAUGCCGCGUGUGUGAAGAAGGCCUGCGGGUUGUAAAGCACUUUCGGUUGGGAGGACUGCUUCUAGCACUAAUAUUGUUGGAAGUUGACGUUACCUUCAGAAGAAGCACCGGCUAACUCCGUGCCAGCAGCCGCGGUAAUACGGAGGGUGCAAGCGUGUAAUCGGAAUUACUGGGCGUAAAGCGCGCGUAGGCGGCUAGAUCAGUCGGGUGUGAAAGCCCCGGGCUUAACCUGGGAACUGCAUCCGAUACUGUCUAGCUUGAGUACAGGAGAGGAGAGUGGAAUUCCACAUGUAGCGGUGAAAUGCGUAGAUAUGUGGAGGAAUACCAAUGGCGAAGGCAGCUCUCUGGCCUGAUACUGACGCUGAGGUGCGAAAGCGUGGGGAGCAAACAGGAUUAGAUACCCCCGUAGUC